CUGUGCCGAGGAGCUCCUUGCGCUCAUUUCAUUUUCUGCCGGUCUUCCGUUGGGAGUGGUGUUGCGUGUCCGACCAUGGUUCGACGGCGCAUGCUUCCAUGCUUGGGGAGGGUCCCGUGCUGCGCUGUCAUUGGUAGUAUCUUCUCUGCCUGGCCUCUUCAGAGUUUCCAGUGGCUCCGUCACGACGGGCCGGGUGUGGUCCAGAAGUGGUUUUGUCUGGCUGACUCCCUCCCAGUCAAUAUUCGCGUCACUAUUGUGGGCUUCAACUGCAAGCAUCGUGUUUGGGUCCGCUCGACGUGUAUCUCUUCUGUGCUCUUGCAUCCUGGUGCCUGUCGUCCGCGUCGUGGCGCCGAUGUGUGCAGACUUUCGCUCUGAGUUGUUGUAAGAUAUAGAUGUAAGAUGAGGAGGAGGACCUGGGAGACG
Molecule: long non-coding RNA, 423 nt
Filed under: Androctonus crassicauda
Lineage: Eukaryota; Metazoa; Arthropoda; Arachnida; Scorpiones; Buthidae
Source: RNAcentral